GAUGAAGAACGCAGCGAAAUGCGAUACGUAAUGUGAAUUGCAAAUUCAGUGAAUCAUCGAGUCUUUGAACGCACAUUGCGCCCCCUGGUAUUCCGGGGGGCAUGCCUGUCCGAGCGUCAUUGCUGACCUCAAGCACGGCUUGUGUGUUGGGCCCCGUCCUCCGAUCCCGGGGGACGGGCCCGAAAGGCAGCGGCGGCACCGCGUCCGGUCCUCGAGCGUAUGGGGCUUUGUCACCCGCUCUGUAGGCCCGGCCGGCGCUUGCCGAUCAACCCAAAUUUUUAUCCAGGUUGACCUCGGAUCAGGUAGGGAUACCCGCUGAACUUAAGCAUAUCAAUAAGCGGAGGA
RNAcentral lists this unclassified non-coding RNA (345 nucleotides) under soil metagenome. Its description in RNAcentral is "partial contains 5.8S ribosomal RNA, internal transcribed spacer 2, and large subunit ribosomal RNA". The stretch from base 1 to 119 matches the Rfam family "5.8S ribosomal RNA", at positions 35 to 154 of the family's 154-position model. The record is from RNAcentral.